This 168-nucleotide ribosomal RNA is filed under the name Argyrolobium tuberosum. Its description in RNAcentral is "5.8S ribosomal RNA". It matches the Rfam family "5.8S ribosomal RNA". Rfam says of the family: 5.8S ribosomal RNA (5.8S rRNA) is a component of the large subunit of the eukaryotic ribosome. The record is from RNAcentral. Lineage: Eukaryota; Viridiplantae; Streptophyta; Magnoliopsida; Fabales; Fabaceae.
UAUCUGAAAGACUCUCGGCAACGGAUAUCUCGGCUCUUGCAUCGAUGAAGAACGUAGCGAAAUGCGAUACUUGGUGUGAAUUGCAGAAUCCCGUGAACCAUCGAGUCUUUGAACGCAAGUUGCGCCCGAAGCCAUUAGGCUGAGGGCACGCCUGCCUGGGUGUUGCAC